This 72-nucleotide transfer RNA is filed under the name Dryopteris crassirhizoma. RNAcentral's name for it is "tRNA-Val". It matches the Rfam family "tRNA". Rfam says of the family: Transfer RNA (tRNA) molecules are approximately 80 nucleotides in length. Lineage: Eukaryota; Viridiplantae; Streptophyta; Polypodiopsida; Polypodiales; Dryopteridaceae. The record is from RNAcentral.
AGGGCUAUAGCUCAGCGGUAGAGCGCCUCAUCUACACCGAGAGUGUCUGCGGUUCGAAUCCGUAUAGUCUUA